AAUACCAAUUGCGAAGGCAGGUUACUAACAAACGAUUGACGCUGAUGGACGAAAGCGUGGGUAGCGAACAGGAUUAGAUACCCUGGUAGUCCACGCCGUAAACGAUGGAUACUAGCUGUUCGGGAGCAAUUCUGAGUGGCUAAGCGAAAGUGAUAAGUAUCCCACCUGGGGAGUACGGGCGCAAGCCUGAAACUCAAAGGAAUUGACGGGGGCCCGCACAAGCGGUGGAGCAUGUGGUUUAAUUCGAUGAUACGCGAGGAACCUUACCAGGGCUUAAAUGUAGUUUGACCGAUUUGGAAACAGAUCUUUCGCAAGACAAAUUACAAGGUGCUGCAUGGUUGUCGUCAGCUCGUGCCGUGAGGUGUCAGGUUAAGUCCUAUAACGAGCGCAACCCCUGUUGUUAGUUGCCAGCGAGUCAUGUCGGGAACUCUAGCAAGACUGCCAGUGUAAACUGUGAGGAAGGUGGGGAUGACGUCAAAUCAUCACGGCCCUUACGUCCUGGGCCACACACGUGCUACAAUGGACGGUACAGAGAGCAGCCACUUAGCAAUAAGGAGCGAAUCUAUAAAACCGUUCUCAGUUCGGAUCGGAGUCUGCA
RNAcentral lists this ribosomal RNA (598 nucleotides) under Flavobacterium sp. S222(2010). Its description in RNAcentral is "bacterial SSU rRNA". It matches the Rfam family "Bacterial small subunit ribosomal RNA", at positions 705 to 1309 of the family's 1533-position model. Lineage: Bacteria; Pseudomonadati; Bacteroidota; Flavobacteriia; Flavobacteriales; Flavobacteriaceae. The record is from RNAcentral.